GCUGACAUGUCCCGGCCAAUCUCCAGCAGACCCUCCCUCCCAGACUCUCCUACUUCCUGGACAGCAUCCAUGUUUCAACAGUCCAUGUUUUCAACAUGUUGAAACAUGGAUGCUGUCCAGGAAGUAGGAGGGUCUGGGAGGGAGGGUCUGCUGGAGAUUGACCGGGACGUGUCAG
Molecule: microRNA precursor, 175 nt
Filed under: Pelobates cultripes (western spadefoot toad)
Lineage: Eukaryota; Metazoa; Chordata; Amphibia; Anura; Pelobatidae
Source: RNAcentral